This 540-nucleotide non-coding RNA is filed under the name Pongo abelii (Sumatran orangutan). Lineage: Eukaryota; Metazoa; Chordata; Mammalia; Primates; Hominidae. The record is from RNAcentral.
GAGUUGGCUGCGUUUGGAGAUCCCUGGGCCUAAGAGCACCAGAUUCUCAAAACAGUAAGUCCUACCACUUGUUCUAUCACAAAACUUAUUUUGGGCAAGUCACUCAAGCCUUCGAUAGGUAAGAGAGUCCCUGAAUGCUAAGAGAGUCCCUGAAAGCAUUCCAGCUCAAGUCCGCCCCAGGAGGGAGCCACCCCAUGGAAGGACAGAGCUGAGCAACAUGCCACUCAAAGGAAAAGCACUUAGAACCACUCUAACACAGGCUUUGGAGCCACAUGUGGGUUUGAAUCUCAACUCUACCUGUCUGAGUGACCCUGGGCAAGUCACUUCACUUCCCUGAGACUCAAGUUUCAUCAAGAUGGGAACAAUGAGCAUCUGCCUCACAGGCUUGUCGUGAGGAUUAAGUGAGAAGGUGCAGCUGCAAAGACAUCAAACUGGACCCAUCGAGGAUUUCGGAUUCAGCCAUCAUGGGGCUGCUGCCGGGGAAGCCACUGCCCCUCCUUUCUCCUCAGCACUGGGGUUAUAAAAAAAUACCUACAAACC